This 62-nucleotide transfer RNA is filed under the name Costapex baldwinae. RNAcentral's name for it is "tRNA-Gln". The record is from RNAcentral. Lineage: Eukaryota; Metazoa; Mollusca; Gastropoda; Neogastropoda; Costellariidae.
UACAAAGCGGUGUACGGGCACAAAGAAUUUUGAUUUCUUAGGAAAGGUUCAACACCUUCUGG